This 253-nucleotide ribosomal RNA is filed under the name uncultured bacterium. Its description in RNAcentral is "partial 16S ribosomal RNA". It matches the Rfam family "Bacterial small subunit ribosomal RNA", at positions 524 to 776 of the family's 1533-position model. The record is from RNAcentral.
UACGGGGGGUGCGAGCGUUGUCCGGAAUCACUGGGCGUAAAGGGCGCGUAGGUGGUUUGAUAAGGGUGUGGUGAAAGUCCGGGGCUCAACCCCGGAUCUGCCGUGCCGACUGUCAAACUCGAGGGCUGUAGAGGCAGACGGAAUUCCGGGUGUAGCGGUGAAAUGCGCAGAUAUCGGGAGGAACACCGGUGGCGAAGGCGGUUCUCUGGGCCUGUACUGACGCUGAGGAGCGAAAGCGUGGGGAGCGAACAGG